GUACCUACGGGGGGCAGCAUUAGGGAAUCUUCCACAAUGGGCGAAAGCCUGAUGGAGCAACGUCGCGUGGGUGAAGAAGGUCUUCGGAUCGUAAAACCCUGUUGUUAGAGAAGAAAGUGCGUGAGAGUAACUGUUCACAUUUCGACGGUAUCUAACCAGAAAGCCACGGCUAACUACGUGCCAGCCGCCGCGGUAAUACGUAGGUGGCAAGCGUUAUCCGGAUUUAUUGGGCGUAAAGGGAACGCAGGCGGUCUUUUAAGGUUGAUGGGAAAGCCUUCGGCUUAACC
This 287-nucleotide ribosomal RNA is filed under the name uncultured bacterium. RNAcentral's name for it is "partial 16S ribosomal RNA". It matches the Rfam family "Bacterial small subunit ribosomal RNA", at positions 335 to 614 of the family's 1533-position model. The record is from RNAcentral.